Molecule: long non-coding RNA, 885 nt
Organism: Cygnus olor (mute swan)
Lineage: Eukaryota; Metazoa; Chordata; Aves; Anseriformes; Anatidae
Exons: 3
Source: RefSeq, a predicted model, not a curated record
UGCUUGCUGUGCUUCAGUCUAGCAGCAGUUCCUGCUCUUCCAUUGCCCUAUCUCUGCUGCCUGUGAGGCAGCAGCAGCAGAGGGGAUUUGAAAAAAUACCUCCACAUCUGCGGCUUCCGUUGUCCAGCACUCUUCCUGCCUCUCCAUACUCUUGUGAACAUAGCUACCAGAAAAGGCACCCUGGACAAGAAAGAAACCCACCUAAGGCAAAAUUCAGCUUGUGUUAUAAUAAACACUCAGCUAAAUGAGACCGCAGAAACUACAUAACCCAAGAAGGAUGCUUUGUCUAAAAAGAGUUCAUUUGUUUCCAGUUCAGCAGAAAGCAACAGUCAUGUGGGAGAAAUAUUCAUUACCAAUACAACUGCAGCUACUGAACCAUCUUCUCUGUGCUGUUCCGUUCCUCUAAAGUAAGAUUUGUAUAAAUUUCAGUGUCAUGCAAACUGUCAAAGAUAACCUCUGGUCUUAGAAGCAAGAAAGCAAAUUCUGUAAGUUUUAACUACUUUGUAGUGGUUUGUUGAUCUUGUAGCUAUUCUGAAAUAGGAAGCCAAAUUUCAAAGGUAAUUUGAGAUUUAUGAGAUGUUACACAAGGCAAGAACAAUUCUUAAAGCAGUUUCAGAUUUUCUGUUAAUUUGUUUUUAAUUAUGGUGUUGUAAGCAGCCUUUAACACUUGUGUGUCCAUGGAGCUUUCCGGGAAUGCUUUACUGAGAUCCCACGCAGAGAUGCUGGAUCAUCUGACCCAUGAAGAACUGGAUCUAGAGGUGAAUGACUCUUCGCAGGGGCUCAUUUAACAAGAGCUUUGGCAGACAGACAAAGUCUUUCUGCAGACCUUCUGACAGAAGACAAACUCAAACUAUCCAUGGUAUGGAAUAAAAAGAGAGAAGAUUU